Molecule: ribosomal RNA, 301 nt
Filed under: uncultured bacterium
Lineage: Bacteria
Description: partial 16S ribosomal RNA
Rfam family: Bacterial small subunit ribosomal RNA
Source: RNAcentral
CAGCAGCCACGGGAAUACGGAGGGGGCUAGCGUUAAUCGGAAUUACUGGGCGUAAAGCGCACGCAGGCGGUUUGUUAAGUCAGAUGUGAAAUCCCCGAGCUUAACUUGGGAACUGCAUUUGAAACUGGCAAGCUAGAGUCUUGUAGAGGGGGGUAGAAUUCCAGGUGUAGCGGUGAAAUGCGUAGAGAUCUGGAGGAAUACCGGUGGCAAAGGCGGCCCCCUGGACAAAGACUGACGCUCAGGUGCGAAAGCGUGGGGAGCAAACAGGAUUAGAUACCCGUGUAGUCCCUGUCUCUUAUAC